Molecule: ribosomal RNA, 506 nt
Filed under: uncultured bacterium
Lineage: Bacteria
Description: partial 16S ribosomal RNA
Rfam family: Bacterial small subunit ribosomal RNA
Source: RNAcentral
GAUGAACGCUAGCUACAGGCUUAACACAUGCAAGUCGAGGGGUAACGAGAGGAAAGCUUGCUUUCCUUGUCGACGACCGGCGCACGGGUGAGUAACGCGUAUCCAACCUGCCCCCAACUAGGGAAUAACCUUGCGAAAGUAAGACUAAUACCCUAUAAUUUCCUCAGAUGACAUCUGAAGAGGAAUAAAGAUUUAUCGGUUGUGGAUGGGGAUGCGUCUGAUUAGCUUGUUGGCGGGGUAACGGCCCACCAAGGCAACGACCAGUAGGGGUUCUGAGAGGAAGGUCCCCCACAUUGGAACUGAGACACGGUCCAAACUCCUACGGGAGGCAGCAGUGAGGAAUAUUGGUCAGUGGGCGGAAGCCUGGACCAGCCAAGUAGCGUGCAGGAUGACGGCCCUAUGGGUUGUAAACUGCUUUUAUACAGGAAUAAAGUUAGCCACGUGUGGUUAUUUGUAGGUACUGUAUGAAUAAGGACCGGCUAAUUCCGUGCCAGCAGCCGCCGCAG